RNAcentral lists this ribosomal RNA (750 nucleotides) under uncultured bacterium. RNAcentral describes it as "bacterial SSU rRNA". It matches the Rfam family "Bacterial small subunit ribosomal RNA", at positions 43 to 784 of the family's 1533-position model. The record is from RNAcentral.
CAGGCCUAACACAUGCAAGUCGAGCGGUAACAGGGAUAGCUUGCUAUCUGCUGACGAGCGGCGGACGGGUGCGUAACGCGUAGGAAUUUGCCCGAUAGUGGGGGAUAGCCCGGAGAAAUUCGGAUUAAUACCGCAUACCUUCUAAGGAAGAAAGCAGGGGAUCUUCGGACCUUGCGCUAUCGGAUGAGCCUGCGUCGGAUUAGCUAGUUGGUAGGGUAAAUGCCUACCAAGGCGACGAUCCGUAGCUGGUCUGAGAGGAUGAUCAGCCACACUGGGACUGAGACACGGCCCAGACUCCUACGGGAGGCAGCAGUGGGGAAUAUUGCACAAUGGGCGCAAGCCUGAUGCAGCCAUGCCGCGUGUGUGAAGAAGGCCCUAGGGUUGUAAAGCACUUUCGGCGAGGAGGAAGGGUAUCUUGCUAAUAUCAAGGUACAUUGACGUUACUCGCAGAAGAAGCACCGGCUAACUCCGUGCCAGCAGCCGCGGUAAUACGGAGAGUGCAAGCGUUAAUCGGAAUUACUGGGCGUAAAGCGUGCGUAGGCGGUUAAAUAAGUUGGAUGUGAAAGCCCUGGGCUCAACCUAGGAACUGCACCCAAAACUGUUUAACUAGAGUACGAGAGAGGAGUGUGGAAUUUCCUGUGUAGCGGUGGAAUGCGUAGAUAUAGGAAGGAACACCAGUGGCGAAGGCGGCACUCUGGCUCGAUACUGACGCUGAGGUACGAAAGCAUGGGUAGCAAACAGGAUUAGAUA